UUAGAACAAGUAUUUACAAGAAACAAAAUAUACAGAAUAAAUAAACGGUCAUUGCCAGUAUCACAGCACCACGCCGCCUGAGCUAUAAGUAAAACUUAACCAGUGCUCUAUUAUCUGUUAAUGUCAGCAAUCUAAUAUAAUAUACUGUUUGCAGGUUCAGCUGUUAAAAAGCAACCAAAAAUAAAAAAUACAGAGGGUGUAGCAGGUCCAUUCCCCAUUACAGCAUGUGCCCUACAGCACAGCCCGACGAAUCGCUCAACUCCCAUGAUUCAGCCAAUAGCAAAACAGGCUGAGGUGGUAUCUAGUCCGUCUCUCGCUACAUCGUAUGUGCUGAAACACAGCCCGAGGAAUAGCUCAACUUCCACAAUUCAACCAAUACCAAAACAGGCUGUGGUGGUACCACAUCCAUCCAUCGGUACAGUGCGUGUGUUGCUACACAGCUCAACAAAUGGUGCUGUUCUCCCACAUUUAAACCAGUGACAGGGCAGGAUAAGAUGGUAUCAGUGCCUUCCCUUACUACAGCGCAUGUUCUGCAACACUUCUAUGGAAUGCAACCUGUGAUGCCAGGAAACUCACAGAUAAACUAAAUCAUGUGCCAGAUGUCGAGCACCAUUGUGUUUGGAAGUUCCAUUGUUCUGUGUGCGAACAGUUUUGGAAGUGUGGAUGAAUCAAGUUUCUGAAACUGACUGGAAAGAAACUUAAUUUUCAAAAACUAAGAUUUUAUUGCAAUUCAUGAUACUGUGAAAUAUUUUUAUAAUUGCUGUACAUUCAGCUAAAAGUUACAGUAAAAUUUUCUUGUAAG
This is a long non-coding RNA of Schistocerca serialis cubense, 802 nucleotides long. RefSeq lists it as uncharacterized. The transcript has 5 exons. NCBI's taxonomy places the organism in Eukaryota, Metazoa, Arthropoda, Insecta, Orthoptera, Acrididae. The record is from RefSeq and is a predicted model, not a curated record.